AAAAAAAAAAAAAAAAACACAUAAUUGAUUAUUGAUGAAAAAACUCAUAAACCCAUAUGAAAAUUCAAAGUUUCAUAUUACCUUUACUUCUUCAGCACUGAAAUCAAAAACCCAAUGAGAGAGAGAAGAUAGUUAGUGUUGAAAUCUGUAUAAAUUUUUGGAGUAAUAAUGAAAGAGUAAAACGCAAUUCAUGUCCUCUAAUUGCCAGAAGAAUCCACUAUAUAUCAUAAUUAUUAUACACUAACAGACUCUGAAAAGUGCAAAUGCACAUUCUCUGUGUGUAUUUCUGUGUGCAUAAAGUGCAGAUUUUCAGAAGAUCGCUCUCUCAACUCAUUCCUUAACAGACGGGAAAAAUGAAACUGCCUGUGCUUGGAAAAUGAAAAAUAUUGAGAAUAAAUAAAACGAUUAAAACAAUUUAUAACCGUCCAUAAUGACGUCAUCUUAUGAUCGACGGCUCUUGUUCUAUGAGGCUCAAACCCGUUAGAUAGAAAAUUAGACAGAAAUUCCACGUGUCGGUCUAUAGGACAGAGGCCGUAGUAAAUGAUGACGUGUGAUCUCUGUUCGUUGCUUUCCAUGCAUGUAUGAUGAAGUGGACGGCUCUGAGCCGAACACGGUAGAGCUAAUGCAAACGGCUGUCAGCUG
This 642-nucleotide long non-coding RNA is filed under the name Olea europaea (common olive). RNAcentral describes it as "long non-coding RNA (OEUR_LNC012439)". Lineage: Eukaryota; Viridiplantae; Streptophyta; Magnoliopsida; Lamiales; Oleaceae. The record is from RNAcentral.